UACGGAGGGGGCUAGCGUUAUUCGGAAUUAUUGGGCGUAAAGGGCGCGUAGGCGGCCCGGUAAGUCAAAGGUGAAAUCCCUCGGCUCAACUGAGGAACUGCCUUUGAAACUGUCGGGCUUGAGGCCGGGAGGGGGUAGCGGAAUUCCCAGUGUAGCGGUGAAAUGCGCAGAUAUCAGGAGGAACACCAAUUGCGAAGGCAGCUCGCUGGGACGUUACUGACGCUGAGACGCGAAAGCGUGGGGAGCAAACAGG
This 253-nucleotide ribosomal RNA is filed under the name uncultured bacterium. RNAcentral describes it as "partial 16S ribosomal RNA". It matches the Rfam family "Bacterial small subunit ribosomal RNA", at positions 524 to 776 of the family's 1533-position model. The record is from RNAcentral.